GGAAGGAGAGAGAGAGGGAGGGGGAAGCGGAGGUACACGGGAUUCUGAUGUUCUCUGUUGCACACACCGCACUGCUCGCCCUAACUGCGCUAUCCAUGCUGCUGUAUCGUACACUGUCUGCAUGAGACGAGUCCGUUUACUGUUUAGCCUAUCGAAGCAUUUCUCGGCUCGACUCUACACCUGUCCCCGACUCUUCUCUUUUUGGCACAUCUUUCCAGUUUCUCUUCAAACCCUUCGAUCGGCUGAAGUGUUUUUCCAAGGAAAGAGAUCGUUGAAACUGCCAGUCUAAGCGGCUAGAAGAGAAGAGAAGUGACUUGUCUGCAGAACUCUCCGCCGCUGCACGUUCUCAAGAUGAGCGAGAUCAGAUCCACGGGGAAUCCCAACAGCAGCCAGACGCCGGCAUCGGACAACAAAGGUCUGUCUGUCUGUUUAUGUAUUCAGACGCCGUACUCUGUGAACUUUAUGUCUCUCCAUCUGUCUCUCUCUGUUCCCCUCACACUCUCUCUCUCUCCCUCUCUCCACCUCACACUCUCUCGCUGUCUCUCGCUCUCUCCACCUCACACUCUCUCCCUGUCUCUCCCUCUCUCCCCUCACACUCUCUCUCUCUCUCUCUCCCCUCACACUCUCUCUCUGUCUCGCCCUCUGUUCCCUCACACUCUCUCUCUGUCUCUCCCUCUCUCCCCUCACACUCUCUCUCUGUCUCUCUCCACCUCACACUCUCUCGCUGUCUCUCGCUCUCUCCACCUCACACUCUCUCCCUGUCUCUCCCUCUCUCCCCUCACACUCUCUCUCUCUCUCUCUCUCCCUUCACACUCUCUCUCUGUCUCGCCCUCUGUUCCCUCACACUCUCUCUCUGUCUCUCCCUCUCUCCCCUCACACUCUCUCUCUGUCUCUCUCCACCUCACACUCUCUCGCUGUCUCUCGCUCUCUCCACCUCACACUCUCUCCCUGUCUCUCCCUCUCUCCCCUCACACACUCUCUCUCUCUCUCUCUCCCCUCACACUCUCUCUCUGUCUCGCCCUCUGUUCCCUCACACUCUCUCUCUGUCUCUCCCUCUCUCCCCUCACACUCUCUCUCUGUCUCUCUCCACCUCACACUCUCUCGCUGUCUCUCGCUCUCUCCACCUCACACUCUCUCCCUGUCUCUCCCUCUCUCCCCUCACACUCUCUCUCUCUCUCCCCUCACACUCUCUCUCUCUGUCUCUCCCUCUCUCCCCUCACACUCUCUCUCUCUCUCCCCUCACACUCUCUCUCUCUCUCUCUCUCCCCUCACACUCUCUCUCUGUCUCUCCCUCUGUUCCCUCACACUCUCUCUGUCUCUCCCUCUCUCCCCUCACACUCUCUCUCUGUCUCUCUCCACCUCACACUCUCUCUCUGUCUCUCCCUCUCUCCCCUCACACUCUCUCUCUGUCUCUCUCCCAUCACACUCUCUCUCUGUCUCUCCCUCUCUCCACCUCACACUCUCUCUCUGUCUCUCCCUCUCUCCCCUCACACUCUCUCUCUGUCUCUCCCCUCACACUCUCUCUGUCUCUCUCCCCUCACACUCUCAAUGUCUCUCCCUCUCUCCCCUCACACUCUCUCUCUGUCUCUCUCCCAUCACACUCUCUCUCUCUCUCCCUCUCUCCACCUCACACCCUCUCUCUGUCUCUCCCUCUCUCCACAUCACACUCUCUCUGUCUCUCCCUCUCUCCACCUCACACUCUCUCUGUCUCUUUCCACUUCAAACUCUCUCUCUGUCUCUCCCUCUCUCCAGCUCACACUUUCUCACUGUCUCUCUCCACCUUACACUCUCUCUCUCUGUCUCUUUCCACCUUACACUCUCUCUCUCCCUCUCUCCACCUUACACUCUCUCUCUCUGUCUCUUUCCACUUCAAACUCUCUCUCUGUCUCUCCCUCUCUCCCCUCACACCCUCUCUCCGUCUCUCCCUCUCCCCUCUUUCUGUUUUGUAUCUGUAUCCUUAAGCUUAGCACCUACAUGCCGUUGCUAGCUUUUCAGUCUAGGUUUUUGCCUGCUAGGUUCAUUACUAACCGGGUGAAGGCCACAUUUUCAAGAUUUUGUCUGGAUUCACUGGAAUUUCUUUUUUAG
Molecule: long non-coding RNA, 2085 nt
Filed under: Salmo trutta (river trout)
Lineage: Eukaryota; Metazoa; Chordata; Actinopteri; Salmoniformes; Salmonidae
Description: lncRNA (ENSSTUG00000006357.1)
Source: RNAcentral